UACGGAGGGAGCUAGCGUUAUUCGGAAUUACUGGGCGUAAAGCGCACGUAGGCGGCUUUGUAAGUUAGAGGUGAAAGCCUGGAGCUCAACUCCAGAAUUGCCUUUAAGACUGCAUCGCUUGAAUCCAGGAGAGGUGAGUGGAAUUCCGAGUGUAGAGGUGAAAUUCGUAGAUAUUCGGAAGAACACCAGUGGCGAAGGCGGCUCACUGGACUGGUAUUGACGCUCAUGCACGAAAGCGUGGGGAGCAAACAGG
RNAcentral lists this ribosomal RNA (253 nucleotides) under uncultured bacterium. RNAcentral describes it as "partial 16S ribosomal RNA". It matches the Rfam family "Bacterial small subunit ribosomal RNA", at positions 524 to 776 of the family's 1533-position model. The record is from RNAcentral.